RNAcentral lists this ribosomal RNA (381 nucleotides) under uncultured archaeon. RNAcentral's name for it is "bacterial SSU rRNA". It matches the Rfam family "Archaeal small subunit ribosomal RNA", at positions 345 to 727 of the family's 1478-position model. The record is from RNAcentral.
AACCUUUACAAUGCACGAAAGUGUGAUAAGGGAACUCUUAGUGCUUGCACUAAGUGUAGGCUUUUGCCAAAUGUAAAUAGUUUGGCGAAUAAGUGGUGGGAAAGACUGGUGCCAGCCGCCGCGGUAACACCAGCGCCACAAGUGGCGAUCGUUUUUAUUGGGCCUAAAGCGUCCGUAGCUGGUUUGGUAAAUCUCUUGUGAAAUUGUUAAGCUUCACUUAACAGCGUGCAGGAGACACUGCCAAACUCGGAACCGGUAGGAGUCAGAAGUAUGGUAGGGGUAACGGUAAAAUGUUAUAAUCCCUACUAGACUACCUGUGGCGAAGGCGUCUGACUAGGACGGAUUCGACAGUGAGGGACGAAAGCCAGGGGAGCGAACCGG